This 106-nucleotide unclassified non-coding RNA is filed under the name uncultured fungus. RNAcentral's name for it is "sequence contains ITS1". The record is from RNAcentral. Lineage: Eukaryota; Fungi.
CCAAUCUCUAGCGGGGCUCGUAAGUGGGUCUCGCGAAACCUUUCUGUAUUUAAAACCCAACUCAUGAGAAUAAAAAAAUAACAUACACGUUAUAUGUAAAUUAAGA